UCCAAUAUGGUGUAACGGUUAGCAUACGGGGCUUUCAAUCCCUAGACCCGGGUUCAACUCCCGGUAUUGGAA
Molecule: transfer RNA, 72 nt
Filed under: Chlamydiota bacterium
Lineage: Bacteria; Pseudomonadati; Chlamydiota
Description: Chlamydiae bacterium (freshwater metagenome) tRNA-Glu
Rfam family: tRNA
About the family: Transfer RNA (tRNA) molecules are approximately 80 nucleotides in length. Their secondary structure includes four short double-helical elements and three loops (D, anti-codon, and T loops).
Source: RNAcentral